Oncorhynchus nerka (sockeye salmon) is the source of this 2610-nucleotide long non-coding RNA. RefSeq lists it as uncharacterized. The record is from RefSeq and is a predicted model, not a curated record. The transcript has 2 exons. Lineage: Eukaryota; Metazoa; Chordata; Actinopteri; Salmoniformes; Salmonidae.
UUUCCCCAGGUUUAAUUACAUUACAAAUAGUGGUAAUUUAUUGCAAAUAUGCAGUUAUUAUAAUUUACUUGGUCAAUUUAUUUUUGUUUUGAGGAAAAUAAGUGUGUAUAUUGUUCCUGAGGAGGGACUGAUAUAAAUUGACUAAAAAUGAUUUGAGAAUGUUUAAGUAUGUAUCAAACUAUGGAAGGAAAUUAGGAGUAGUGACUUAUGUGUUAUGGGUUAGGAAAAACUGCAACUACAUUAGGGGCUCAUACAUGAAGGUUAUGGUAGCGGAGGGGUGUUAUUCUAAAGUAAAUAGAACAAUACACAUACCUAGAUUAUGGUAAAAGUAACAAGUAGGGGCAUUUUGAACACUAGAGCAAAAGUUUAAGAAACGUAUGACUUAGUUUUGUUAGGAUUGGCUAUUCUUUCAACUGAAAGACACUUGACUGAUUACAUGUUAUUCUUACAGCAGUUGCUGUAGGGACCAUAAUGUGGCUAUCAUUAUGAAUAUUUUUGUGGCAGGAGUCCAGGUAUUUGAGACAGAAUGUUUACAUAGGGCUGUUAUUUAAAAAUUAAGAUUUCGUGAUCUUGCUAUAAGAAGAAAGUUUGUUGUCAGGAAAUAACCCAUGUGUUAGUGUAUGUCCCCAGGAAAAGACAGCACAUAAGAGGCCAGAUGGAAAGGCAUGGGCUGAAUUCUGGAGACUGAGUGUACAUCAAGAUACAUCAGGCUGGGGGUAUACUUCUUACAGCACCUGCAGUGUUAAAGAUCGUCAUGUCUCUCUUUGAUGGGUGCAUAAGUUUCACAAGAAGUAAGGUCCAGCUGAAUAAUGGAAAGAAGGCAGAAACCUGAACCAGGACGAGAGGUUCCAUGUCUGAUGAUCCAAGGGGACCAGAAGGACCUCUCCCAGUGAUACCAGGAGAUCUAGUCUAUGUUCGAGUGUUCCGGAGGAAGUGGGAUCAACCGAGAAGAGAAGGAUUCUACGAGAAGGCCGCAGCAACAAACACGGCUGUCCAAGUGAAAGGAAGCAAGAUGUGGUACCAUGGUACCACCUGAAGCACUGCACUUGAGUCCCAACAGAAAGAAGGACACAACCAUAUAGAGAUGAGGACACGGAGGAUGCUGAUCCACCAGGAAGGAGCCCGGAAGGAGCAGGAACAGCGAAAGCAAUCGAGAUGCCAGGGAGGAGCCAAGAGAACAGCAGACCAAGUGAAAGCCAAAAUACGACAGGUGCAUUGCCUAAUGCACCCAGAAGAAGACGAAGGAGAGACAACACUGAAGAGAGAACCUGCGAAUAACCAGAAUUCACUCCUGUGGGGCCAGAGAGUCCAGGGAUGGGAGGGAGUAACAUGCCUGAUACUCCUAAUGACAUACCUGUUGUGGCAGACCUCUUUGACAGAAGCCUUCCACAGUGGGACCCCGAAGUAUCACCUACAGAAUGGGAACAUCUCUUCCCUAAAAUUGACACCCUUCCAGAUGGAAGCCCAGUCCGGCCUGAGGAGGGAGCCUCAUGGGAAGAAAGAGGAGGAGAGGCCUCACAAGGAACAGAAGGAGAGACUCCACAAAGAGGAGGAAAAGUCCAGCAAGCUGAAGAAAAUGGGGAUUUCCCCACAAUUGACUUUUCAGCUCUUGAAUGGUCUUAACAUUUACUUGAAGUUAGAACCACAGAAGAACAAUGACAUUGACAUAACAGAAGUAACAGUGAACGCUAGUAUAGAAACAACAGACUCACGCACAAUCAAGAUGUAGGGUGGAAACAGGAAGAGAAGAGAGGAACCAGCCAAACAAUCUAGAAAGACUGACAAGGUUAGAAUCUCUGUUCCACCUCAACACAUAACUGAAACAGGAGAACAGAAGACAAAAGGAUCAAGCCUCUACCUGAGAUUGCAUUCUGUGGAUGGACACAUCAUCAAACGAAGGGCAUUUGGGACUCAAAAGGAUGUGACCUGACGUUAACCAAAGACGUGGACGAGUGGGUGCUCACCUUGAAUCAGAUUGAACCAGUUGAAGGUGAAGAAUUAAUAGUUGAAAUAACGAGAAGAUUGACCGAAGGGAGUAGCACCUCAGUCAUUAGAAUUGGUCCUACGCCAAUACCCAAACAGGAAGAGCCUGUGGUAGCUAGAACGACAACAACAGUGGAAGAUGCUGUGAAGACCACAGUAGCUACCACUAAGAUAACAUCAACUGCCCUUACCAAGCAGUCCACUGUACCCACAAAGAAACCUGAAGCAUCAGAACCAGGAGGGUUCUUUACUGACAUUUGGAACUUUUUGACAAACUCUAAUGAUAUACCUCAAGACAAAAACAUUGUAAAAGUGACAUAUAUCUCAGAAUCAGAACAACUCAAGGACACCACACAAGAAGAAGUAGUGAAGAAUGAGUAGUAUGAAUUGGUUAAGUAUACAGCAAACAAACAGGAUGGACAAUUGUAUUUUGUGUAGCAGAUCACCUUUGUCUGAUCUUUUGAUAGUGGCUGAACCUGCAUCAUUUGAAGAAUGUGUUAAAUGUAAAAUGUUCAAUGUAUUCAGAGAAAAUACUACAUUCCUUUGUGUAACAUAGAAUGCAGUUUGGCACUAGGUAACACUAAAGGCAGAAGUGAAUUAAAUAAAGAUAUGCUGGGAGAACAUGAA